AGCAACAUGGCGCAGCGGAAGCGCGCCGGGCUCAUAACCCGGAGGUCCCACGAUCGAAACGUGGUGUUGCUA
RNAcentral lists this transfer RNA (72 nucleotides) under Morchella angusticeps. RNAcentral describes it as "tRNA-Met". It matches the Rfam family "tRNA". Rfam says of the family: Transfer RNA (tRNA) molecules are approximately 80 nucleotides in length. Their secondary structure includes four short double-helical elements and three loops (D, anti-codon, and T loops). The record is from RNAcentral. Lineage: Eukaryota; Fungi; Ascomycota; Pezizomycetes; Pezizales; Morchellaceae. RNAcentral also lists the same sequence under 9 other names.